GACGAACGCUGGCGGCGUGCUUAACACAUGCAAGUCGAACGGUGAAGCGCCUUCCUUUUUGGUGGGUGUGGAUGAGUGGCGAACGGGUGAGUAACACGUGAGUAACCUGCCCCCUUCUUCUGGAUAACCGCAUGAAAGUGUGGCUAAUACGGGAAAUUCUGGGUCUGUCGCAUGAUGGGUCUGGGAAAGAUAUUGUUUCGGUGGGGGAUGGGCUCGCGGCCUAUCAGCUUGUUGGUGGGGUGAUGGCCUACCAAGGCGGUGACGGGUAGCCGGCCUGAGAGGGUGGACGGUCACACUGGGACUGAGACACGGACCAGACUACUACGGGAGGCAGCAGUGGGGAAUAUUGCACAAUGGGCGCAAGCAUGAUGCAGCGACGCCGCGGGAGGGAUGGAGGCCUUCGGGUUGUGAACCUCUUUCGCCAGUGAAGCAGGCCUGCCUCGUUUGUGGGUGGGUUGACGGUAGCUGGAUAAGAAGCGCCGGCUAACUACGUG
Molecule: ribosomal RNA, 494 nt
Filed under: uncultured bacterium
Lineage: Bacteria
Description: partial 16S ribosomal RNA
Rfam family: Bacterial small subunit ribosomal RNA
Source: RNAcentral